This 1292-nucleotide ribosomal RNA is filed under the name metagenome. Its description in RNAcentral is "bacterial SSU rRNA". It matches the Rfam family "Bacterial small subunit ribosomal RNA", at positions 116 to 1403 of the family's 1533-position model. The record is from RNAcentral.
CAUCGGAACGUGCCAUUGAGAGGGGGAUAACGUAGCGAAAGUUGCGCUAAUACCGCAUAUUCUGUGAGCAGGAAAGCAGGGGACCGCAAGGCCUUGCGCUCUUUGAGCGGCCGAUGUCAGAUUAGCUAGUUGGUGAGGUAAAGGCUUACCAAGGCGACAAUCUGUAGCGGGUCUGAGAGGAUGAUCCGCCACACUGGAACUGAGACACGGUCCAGACUCCUACGGGAGGCAGCAGUGGGGAAUUUUGGACAAUGGGGGCAACCCUGAUCCAGCCAUGCCGCGUGAGUGAAGAAGGCCUUCGGGUUGUAAAGCUCUUUCGGCCGGGAAGAAAUCGCAUGGGCCAAUACCCUGUGUGGAUGACGGUACCGGAAUAAGAAGCACCGGCUAACUACGUGCCAGCAGCCGCGGUAAUACGUAGGGUGCGCGCGUUAAUCGGAAUUACUGGGCGUAAAGCGUGCGCAGGCGGUUUUGUAAGACAGGCGUGAAAUCCCCGGGCUUAACCUGGGAACUGCGUUUGUGACUGCAAGGCUAGAGUACGGCAGAGGGGGGUGGAAUUCCACGUGUAGCAGUGAAAUGCGUAGAGAUGUGGAGGAACACCAAUGGCGAAGGCAGCCCCCUGGGUCGAUACUGACGCUCAUGCACGAAAGCGUGGGUAGCAAACAGGAUUAGAUACCCUGGUAGUCCACGCCCUAAACUAUGUCAACUAGGUGUUGGGUGGGUAAAACCAUUUAGUACCGUAGCUAACGCGUGAAAUUGACCGCCUGGGGAGUACGGCCGCAAGGUUAAAACUCAAAGGAAUUGACGGGGACCCGCACAAGCGGUGGAUGAUGUGGAUUAAUUCGAUGCAACGCGAAAAACCUUACCUACCCUUGACAUGCCAGGAACUUGCCAGAGAUGGCUUGGUGCCCGAAAGGGAGCCUGGACACAGGUGCUGCAUGGCUGUCGUCAGCUCGUGUCGUGAGAUGUUGGGUUAAGUCCCGCAACGAGCGCAACCCUUGUCGUUAAUUGCCAUCAUUUAGUUGGGCACUUUAACGAGACUGCCGGUGACAAACCGGAGGAAGGUGGGGAUGACGUCAAGUCCUCAUGGCCCUUAUGGGUAGGGCUUCACACGUCAUACAAUGGUCGGUACAAAGGGUUGCCAAGCCGCGAGGCGGAGCCAAUCCCAGAAAGCCGAUCGUAGUCCGGAUUGCAGGCUGCAACUCGCCUGCAUGAAGUCGGGAUCGCUAGUAAUCGUGGAUCAGCAUGUCACGGUGAAUACGUUCCCGGGUCUUGUACACACCGCCCGUCACACC